Molecule: ribosomal RNA, 452 nt
Filed under: uncultured bacterium
Lineage: Bacteria
Description: bacterial SSU rRNA
Rfam family: Bacterial small subunit ribosomal RNA
Source: RNAcentral
UACGGAAGGCAGCAGUGGGGAAUAUUGCACAAUGGGCGCAAGCCUGAUGCAGCCAUGCCGCGUGUAUGAAAAAGGCCUUCGGGUUGUAAAGUACUUUCAGUCGUGAGGAAGGUGUUAAGGUUAAUAACCUUAGCAAUUGACGUUAGCGACAGAAGAAGCACCGGCUAACUCCGUGCCAGCAGCCGCGGUAAUACGGAGGGUGCGAGCGUUAAUCGGAAUUACUGGGCGUAAAGGGCACGCAGGCGGUUAAUUAAGUUGGAUGUGAAAUCCCCGGGCUUAACCUGGGAAUGGCAUUCAAGCUGGUUAGCUAGAGUCUUGUAGAGGGGGUAGAAUUCCAUGUGUAGCGGUGAAAUGCGUAGAGAUGUGGAGGAAUACCGGUGGCGAAGGCGGCCCCUGGACAAAGACUGACGCUCAUGCGCGAAAGCGUGGGGAGCAAACAGGGAUUAGAUACC